GCCUGGGUGGCUCAGUCAGUUGAGCGUCUGACUUUGGCUCAGGUCAUGAUCUCCCAGUCAGUGAGUUCGAGCCCCACAUUGGGCU
RNAcentral lists this transfer RNA (85 nucleotides) under Felis catus (domestic cat). It matches the Rfam family "tRNA". Rfam says of the family: Transfer RNA (tRNA) molecules are approximately 80 nucleotides in length. Their secondary structure includes four short double-helical elements and three loops (D, anti-codon, and T loops). Further hydrogen bonds mediate the characteristic L-shaped molecular structure. tRNAs have two regions of fundamental functional importance: the anti-codon, which is responsible for specific mRNA codon recognition, and the 3' end, to which the tRNAs corresponding amino acid is attached (by aminoacyl-tRNA synthetases). tRNAs cope with the degeneracy of the genetic code in two manners: having more than one tRNA (with a specific anti-codon) for a particular amino acid; and 'wobble' base-pairing, i.e. permitting non-standard base-pairing at the 3rd anti-codon position. The record is from Rfam by way of RNAcentral. Lineage: Eukaryota; Metazoa; Chordata; Mammalia; Carnivora; Felidae. RNAcentral also lists the same sequence under 2 other names.